This 497-nucleotide ribosomal RNA is filed under the name uncultured bacterium. RNAcentral's name for it is "partial 16S ribosomal RNA". It matches the Rfam family "Bacterial small subunit ribosomal RNA", at positions 28 to 507 of the family's 1533-position model. The record is from RNAcentral.
GACGAACGCUGGCGGCGUGCCUAAUACAUGCAAGUAGAACGCUGAAGAGAGGAGCUUGCUCUUCUUGGAUGAGUUGCGAACGGGUGAGUAACGCGUAGGUAACCUGCCUUGUAGCGGGGGAUAACUAUUGGAAACGAUAGCUAAUACCGCAUAACAAUGGAUGACACAUGUCAUUUAUUUGAAAGGGGCAAUUGCUCCACUACAAGAUGGACCUGCGUUGUAUUAGCUAGUAGGUGAGGUAAUGGCUCACCUAGGCGACGAUACAUAGCCGACCGGAGAGGGUGAUCGGCCACACUGGGACUGAGACACGGCCCACACUCCUACGGGAGGCAGCAGUAGGGAAUCCUCGGCAAUGGGGGCAACCCUGACCGAGCAACGCCGCAUGAGUGAAGAAGGUUUUCGGAUCGUAAAGCUCUGUUGUAAGUCAAGGACGGGUGUGAGAGUGGAAAGUUCACACUGUGACGGUAGCUUAUCAGAAAGGGACGGCUAACUACGUG